UCAACAACCCAAUGAUGAAGAUAAGUUUCAUGGAGGGGUAUAGGAUUACCAUCUUCAUCAACUACUUCAGCAUGGAAACUCUUGAUUGCUACAUGACCUCUUGGAAAAUCAAUAUCAUAAUAAUAUUUAUUGAUAACUGAUCCAGGUCCUAGCUCGAAUUUCGGGGACAAAAAUACAGCUGAUUUUAUCUUAUUUUCAGUUUUCACAAAAGAACCUAAGCAUGGUACUGUGCCAAACAACAGCACAAGUAUUGCCAAUGAAAAAACAAAAUCUCUAGGUACACACCACAUGUUGAUCUGCCAAAAAAAUAUUAAGUAUUAGUAAUUAACUAAUUAUUGACUAAAAAUAUAUUAAACAGAAUAUUGUGAAAAAUGUAUUGUGUUCAUUAAAAAAGAUUAUUAGUACAACAAAAUUCUGCAAUUAAACGAGUAUAUAUAUAGCGAUAAAAAAAUAAUCUUGCAAAGUACUAGUCCUCCAAAGAAUUGAAUAAUUAAGCUUAAAAAAUAAACAAGGCAGACAGAGUUUUCAAAUUGCACCUAAGAGAAGAUUUUUAAAACCUUAAUUAUGACAUAAGUUAUAGCCAAACCUUAAUUAUGACAUAAACUGAUAGCCAAACAACUUUUUUUUAAUAAGAAAAAACCUAUAAUUAGCAAUAGAGGGAAAUAGAUUCUCUGAUUCAAGUUUUUCAUGCAUCCAUGCGGUCAAAACGUUAGUGACUGUCCGAUUUAGAUCUAACACCUUAAAAAAUGCAUAUUUCAAUAAUUACUCUACUAUUAUAAAACAUCGAUCGACUUGAAUUUUGAAUCAUCCAAUUUUAAUCGAACAUAUUCUAAUAUGUGAAUGCGUCUACAUGUGGACCGCAACAAAUCUAGGUCUAACAAUAAAUGAUGAUUAUAGAAAGUUGAGGCAAAAGGGUGGAGUGCUGUGCAAGUAUAUGAAGUAUUAACAAUUGAUCACACCAAAGUAAGAUUUGAGGAACAUAAAAAGCAACAGCAUGUAGAACAGAUUGCGUACCUCAAAUUUAGAGUGUGUGAGAUGGUUUGUAUCAUUCAAAUAGACUCACACGUAUUUAUAGAUAGAUGAUUGGGGUUGAAUUGAAUGAAAGUGUUUUUCUAAAGAGCCACGUCCUCAGAUUACUUUCACCCACGGGAAAGUAAAGUCCAAAUUUGCUACUCAACUUCCCUUUUCAUAUAAGAUUUUAUCUAACAAAUGCAAUAUUGUUGUUAUAUUGUAUAUGUUAAAGGAACUAAAAGUAACAAAUUUUUAGUGAAAAUCAACAAUUAUUUAUUAAAAAAUUAUAUAUUUAAUAUAAAAUCCACAAAUUUUAAUACAAAAUUUACAAUUUUAAUUUUUUUAACAUGUGUAAAUUUGCAGAUGAUAGAAUUUUUUUAUAAAAAAUAUAACAAAAAUCAUGAUUAUUAAAAAAAGUUGUUAAAGUAAUAAAUUUAUCUGAAAUUUAUGUGAUUAUUACUAUAUUAUUCUUUAUAUAUAAAUGUAUUCAAUGUUAAUUUUAUACCCAAAACAAAAUGAUGCUCCGCAUCAAUAAAGAAUAUAUUUUAAAAAAGAGUAAUAAAUAUAUUUAUAGAUGAUUUUAUAUAUGAACAAUUUUUUGUAAAUAGUUUUGUAGCUAGGAACUGAUAAACUAUUUGAAUUCAUUAUUCAGUCAUUUUACUUUUCCUUUAUUAUUACCAGUAUUCAUUAUUUAUUUCACUCUUGGAUUUUUUUUUGGUUGCUAAUAUCACUCUUGGAUUCAUUAUUCAUUUUUUUUAAAGGUGGACUCAUUAUUCAUUUUUUUGGUCGUAUCACUCAUUAAUACAGUAGAAAACUACAAAGCAUGAGUCGGCAAUUCAACACACUUAGGCAAUUGGAACACUCAAUCGGACAUCAAUUGAUCCAAAUUUCGUUCAUAAAUAAGAUCGAAUUGGUAAGUUAGAUUAAGUCUCUUAAUUUGUAUGGGUGUUAAUUUUGUCCUUAGUUAUUGACGCAUAACGAAAAUAAGGGUUAGCAAAUGCUAAACCUAAAAGAUAAAUAGAUAGGCUGCAAACGACAAACCUAUCAAAUAAGGGUUUACAGAAUCCACUAGAAUUGAGAAAAGUCUCGAUAAUUUUUAUUGAAUGAAAAAAGUGUCUCUUAGGUUGCAUAAGUUAUGUUUAAAUAUUAGAGGAAAUAACAAACCUGUAUGAGCCGAAAAAUAACAUACUGAAAUAAAAUAGAAAAAUCUAGAAUAUGCCGAAAUAUUAAAAUGAGGUUUUGGGCCUUCAGACAACCUCGAAUGACUAAAUUCACCCCUACGUCAUGACCAAGCAUUGGUUUUGUUUGUGAGGUCCCGGACUUUCCGAAAAGGUAUAGUUCGGGUCAUUCUGACACCGGAUGCAAAAUCUACACCAUUCUAAGUAAACCUUUCUUAUCACUACUAAAAAAAGCAAAAAUUUGUGAGGGAAAUUUAGAGAGGGAAAACGCAAAAUCCCUCUCUAAUUCUGUCACUAAAUUUUGCGACCAAGGAAUUUGUAAGGAAUUUUAUUUUUUCCGUCACUAAUCUCCCUCCCUAAUUUUACAUUUUCUAGUGGUGUUACGCGCCACUUCAUCUUCGAUGUGCGCCACCAGUUUGUCUAGAUCAAUUAUAAAAUCAUUAAAAAAAAUUGGUUUUAAAUAUAACAUCAUCUACAAAUUUCUACACAAAGGUAAGAAGGGAUUGAUUAUAUUUUAUAAAACCUUAAUUUUAUAUUUAAAUUUGUAUUAUAUAUAUAUAUAUAUUUUUUUAUAAUAAUUGUAUUUCUUUAUAUUUGUGAAAAAAAUUAAAACGACGUUUAUUUUGAAACGGAGUUGGAAACAUGAUUCAAAAUAGCAACCAUAAUACUUCCUCCGUUUAUAAAUAUAAGCAAAAUUGUUUUUUUAAGUUCAUUCAUUUAAUGAUGCAUAUGAUCCAUAAUAAGAACCACAUACAUUAUUAAAUGAAUGAAUCUAAAAAGUCAAUUUUGCUUAUAUUUAAAAACGGAGAGAGUAUUGAUUUGUUUCUUUUCUAUUAAAAAUUAAUUUCAAAACAAUCAUGAAACUAGCAUUGGGUUAUCAAGCUACCACUUUUUCUGUUGGAGUGUGGUGGUCUUGGCAGCAUCGAAAUUUUAUGUGUUUGAGUGGUGAAACUUGGUCAUGACUGCGUUUUACUUGCAACAUUAAGAAUUCGAUUGAGAGCAUUGUAUUCAAUUUUUCCCCUUCUGUUUCUAUUGAUAUGGCUAACAGGUACAUCAGAUGGAAUAAUAAUAAUAUUUCGGGUGCUAUUCUUAAUGUGGAUGGUAGUUAGCAUGACACUCCUAUUAGAACUUGAUUUGGUGGAGUCUUGCGCAAUGACUCAGGUAUAUUCAUUGCGGGUUUCUCUGGUUUCAUUCCAGGAUCAUUUGACAUCUUGUUGACUGAGCUUUCUAUUAUCUAUCACAAUCUGAUCAUGGAGAAGGAUUUGGGUUAUACAAAGCUUGUUUGCUACUCUGAUUAUCUUGUUUGCGUUAAUCUUAUAAAUGGCCCCAUUGAGUGUUAUCACAUCUAUGUUGUUCUCAUCAAAGACAUAAAGCAAUUGCUUCACCAUACCAGCGUAACGGUUUCUCACACUCUUAGAGAGAAAAAUCAGUGUGCAGACUUAAUGGCAAAGCUUAGAGCUUCUUCUGAUAUUGAUCUUCCUCUUCACGAGUUUUCCCCUGUUGGUCUUGUUAAUCUCGUCGGAAGCGAUGCCGCUUGCAUUUUGUUCCUCAGGGAAUAGUUAGUUUUUUCUUUGCCUUUGUCAUUGUAAAAAAAAAAAAAAAAAAAAACUAGCAUUGUGGUCCCAACUCCAAACAACAAAGUCAAACAAUAUAAUAUAGGUUGGAAAACAAGGCCGACAAUGCAUCAAACUAUACUAUUCUGUCACGGGACGGCUAUCUGGUUGAAGAAGACAUUCUUCAUAUCAGGCUAUCACACUAGCCACUUGAAUUUAUAUUAAUUAAUUAAUUAAAUUCUCAAACAAUUUUUGCUACAAGUGUAAUUAAAAUCAGACAAUACUACGAUUUUUAGGAAACCAAUUAUGCAUGCAAAGUCUGUUAUAGAGACCAAGCCAAGCCACACCCGUUUCAAAAAUAAGCUGCACUUGGCAAGUUCGUCUCAAAUGUUUGAAGCAACUUCCAAACAUUCAUGAUUUCAAUUCAAGUAUUAAACCAUAUUUGGUUUGUCCAUAUUCACGGCGUAUAUAUAACUUGUGAAGUGUAACAUCAAAACACAAAAAAAAAAAAAAAAAGGCUUAUGGGUUGUGGCAAUCUGAUAAAAACAGAUACGUUUCGUACUAAGCAAUUCCCUUUUAAAUUAAGCAGCUAUACGUUACAGCAAACUUACCACAUAGCCAUAUGAUACAAGAAAGAGUGGACUAAGCCAAAAUAAUUACACACUAUGUAUCACUAGAACACGGCAUUGAUGCAAACUUCAUACUUGUCUUCAUCCUAUAGCUAGCCAAAUGCAGAAAGUUUUGUAUUAUUCAGUCACACUCAGACUUGUCUUUAUUCCUCUUUUGAUCAAAUCAUAUAUUACUUCGCUACAAUCCAUAAUAACACUCCACAUUUAUUACAAAUAUGUGACUAAUUAUCUAAAAGCAUAUUAUUUAUAUCCAUAAAAAAUGAAGAACGAGUAGAAUGUCUGAAGUGUUGAUCUGGGAGCUGUUCUGCCACCAACAAGUAGAAAAGUCCCAUUACUCCAGUGUGCUCCUUGGUGCUGCUGUAGUUAGACACUAGAGUUAAAGUUUCACCAUCAACUAUCUUGACAGAACCUGGUUUAGGAUAACAUGUGGACAUUCCUACAAUGUAGCCUGUCUCAUUCCCAGCUUCAUUUCCAUUUCCGUAACUUGGUAUAGAGGAACAUAUAACUCUGCCAUCCUGAAAACAUGAUCCACAUAUUUCGCAAAACAAGCUAUUAAUCUAUUAUACCAUAUUUAACUUCUUAAACAAGCUACUAUACACCUUUUUCUUGUUAAUAAAAGCAUUUGUUAGCCUCAAUUGAAAACUAUCACAUGAUCAAAUAGAAGUGAUUAUAUUUAAUCACAAAUGUGUCUCGGGUCCAACAUGUGUCAGACACUCGAACACAUCUUUAAUCUUAAGUGUCGGUGCUAUACAUGAUGUAAAUCGGGAGUCUCUCUUAAGGAGCAGAAUCGUUAUCGAUUAGAUCCUUCAAUGAUUUCUUUUUUCAAUAAACUUAUGCCACUAAAAAGUGAUAUCUAUUCAAAUCAAAAUAUUUUUGAGUAUUACUGUAAGUUGUAACUUGUCGCUAACUGUUGCAAUUGAAAAUUGUAAAUUACCUGCCCGUAUAGAGUUGAUCCAAUUCCACCUGAAUGCUGAUGAGCAACACCAUAGAUCACAUAGCCACCAGUUUGUAGUGGGAGACUUGUCCUCUUCACAUCAACACAACCAUUUCUUUCUUUAUGGUCUGUGCCGCAAGAUUCAACUUGAUACUCAGUCUGAAACAAAUAAAUUCAUGUUGCUCACUAUAUACCCAACAAAGUAAUGGACUAGUUUUAUGUUUUAGAGUUAAAUUGAGUUGACAAAAACUACAAGUAAGGAUUCUCUGCAGUCUACAGACUUUACAUACACGCAAUAAGCACAUUAAUGACUGUUGGAUCAAGAUUGAAGGGUCUAGGGAUUCCAAACCCAGUGUCAUUGAUUUUAAAAUAAUCAAAAGCUAAAUAUUCUGUGAACUUUUUGAUCUUGAUCCAUCAUCAACCGAUGAUUUGUCUGCGUGAAUCUAGGGUAGCCCAACUACACGGAAUCUAUUUCUAAAAACUAAUGUUUCUUAAUGAAUUCAUUUACCUUGCAAUCAUGGUUUGAGUUCAAUCCUUUUGAAUCAUCUGAUGGUUUCAAAGUAUCAGUAACAUCAAGUAUAUAUAUCUUAACAGGCACUAUAAAAUCAUCCCAAUCAACCCAUUUUACAGUGUAUCUUAGGUAGAGACUUCUCUUUGGACCCUCAAAACCUUCCUUCAACUUGCAUUGUGUAUGGUCAUAACAACAUAACAAACCUCCUUUAUAAUCUGGCCCAAUAGACCUUCCAUAUUCAUCCACUGUAACAUUAUAAAGGUCGCACUUGCACUCAGUGCACCCUAAUUUAUCCUCUGCGCCUCGCGUAUCAAUGGCAUGAACAUUAAGCAACCAUUUAUCCUCAAACCCUUGUGGAAUCUCUUCAGGAUUACCUAUCUCUAUACCGAAAGGAUCUGGAAUAUCUGUUGUCGUUCCUCGUGUUUCUGACCCAAGUCCAAAGUAUUGUGAAAUAGCAUUUCCCUGGCAUAUGCCACUGUUCCUUACAAGAACAUGAUCAGAGUUUUGAAGCAUCAUGUGGCUAACAUCUUCUGUGUGUGUGACAUAUUUUCUUUGAUAAUGUCUUUGAACAAGCCAAUGAUGGAGAUAGGUUUCAUGGAGAGGUAUAGGAUUACCAGCAUCAUCAACUACUUCAGCAUUGAAACUCUUUAGUGCUAUAUGCCCUCUUGGAAAAUCAAUAUCAUAAUAAUGUUUAUUGAUAACUGAUCCAGGUCCAAGUUCAAACUUAGGGGACAGAAAAACAGCUGAUUUGAUUUUAUCUUCGGCCUUCACAAAGGAACUUGAGCAUGUUGUACCAAACAAUAGUAGAAGUAUUGCCUCUAAAAAUACAAAAUCUCUAGAUACAAAACACAUGCUGAUCUGUCAUGGAGUUUUUUUAUUAGUAAUUCAUAAUUAUUGAUUAAAACAAAACAAAACAUCUUUCCUUUAAAAUAUUAUUAACUACAGUACAAAGUAAACGAGGUCGUGGAUUAAUACUUAAAAAAUAUUUAAAAAUCUUUUUUUUUUUUUUUUUGUGGCCGGGUUUCGAACUCCAUAUCUUGUAUAUUUUAUGUAUUGUCAAUAUCAAUUGAUCUAAACUCACGAGGACAAAUAUUUAAAAAUCUAACGACGAAAUAUGUCGUUUUUUUUUAUUUUUUUAUUUUUUUAUAGUAAAUGUUAAUAAUCUUCAUCAUUUUUAUAAUUGAAAUAAUAUUUCUUUUUAGUAAGUAACAUAAUUGCUAGACUUACACACUAACGGUGUAGAGAAGUGGAAAAUCUUUAGUUUAAACCUUUGCCCCUGUAGUUAAAUGUUCUUAGAACUAUCAAUUAAGCUGCAUUUAUAAGAUUGAAAUAAUAAUUUAACUGAUAUUCAUUUUAUUUAAAACAACGAAAAAUAAAUAUUUAACUUGUAUUCAACCAACAUUAAUCAAGUCACUGUUUUAGCCGUAAAUAAGACAAAUGUCACAAAUUUUUAUUUCUAAAUAGUGUUGUUAAUAAUCGUUAAUAUUUCAGAUAAUCUUAAGCAUCGGUUCAUGAUAUAAAGAAAAAUUUGUCCAUAAAAUUUCCGUGAGCUUAGAUCAGUUGGUAGGGAUAUUGCAUGUUAUAUGUAGGGGCCGGGGUUCGAACUCCGAACACCCCAUUUCUACACAUUUAAUUGUGUGAGCUCUAUCCACUAGGCUACUUGACAUAAAGAAAAAUUUGUCCAUAAAAACACUCGACUGACAUAAACUAAUGAUCAAAACACUAGUAUUUUUUUAUUACUCCCUCUCACCAUUUAUAUGACAUCUUUUCCAUUUCUUUUUAAAAAUAUUUCCACUAUUUCUUUGUCAUGUAAUUUAAGACUUUUUAAAAAAAAUAUUAAGAAUUUUUUUUGAGAAAGGGGAAUCUAUUAUUAAUAAGUGGCACUAAAAUAUUUUUUUAAUGGCAAAAUAUAUUACUCUCUCCCUUUUAUAUCUUAAACACCAUUUUAUUAGAGCUAAAGGUUGCUUACAUAUAAGGGGAUUAAAUCCCAAGUAUUACACCAAAAAGAGAAAAAUAAAAACACCAAAAAAAACUCCAAAGAAAAACAAUCAGCACCCUUAAAAUGUCGGAUCACCUAACAAUAGCUCCUAAAAAACCAACACCACCGACAAUGGACAAUUAAGCAACCGAUAAUGAUUUUGCACUAAAGUAUUUUUACAAUUGUCUUCGAGAAGACUCAAAUUAAUACCUUAAAAUCAUGUACAAUAUCAAACUUUUACCACUAAACUAGCACAUCGAAGUAUUUUUUCACAAAAUUUCAUGUGCAUUGAUAAUUUUUUUUUAUAGAAAUGCUCCCUUUUAAUUUACCAAUAAAAAAAUAGAUACAUAUUGUCUUUUAUGAUAUUAAUAGUUUAUAGGGAAAAAUAUGUAACACGACACACAUUUCAGUCAAACUUACUACUCCAUAUAUAAUUUUUCUUAGGCUUAAAUGCACUUUUGACCCCCUAUGUUUGCUAUGGUAGAAAUUUUAGCCUCCUAUUAAAAAAAAAAAAAAAAUUCAGCCCCCUAACUUCAUCUGCUUUUGCAACCCAUAAGCCCCCUCUGAUUUUGACUUGGUCAAAGGUUACUGUGUAAUUUAAAAUAAAAAUAACAAAAAAAAGAAAUUAAAAAUAAUUAAUAGCCUUAGGAUUAAAAAUCGGUGAUCAAGAUUUAAAGAACUCACAUGCUCCCUCUCUUAACUAAUUUUCCCUUCUCCACUCAUUACUACUUCAUGUUCUCCUUCUGAACAACACAAACCCACCCAGAAAAGUCAAGCUCGAUCAGUCUCCAUAUCAUCAACACAUAACCAGAAACUAGAAAACUCCAUCACCUUCAUAUCCAUCGACACAAAACCAAAAAACCUAGAACAAGGACAAGAACAUCAUCUUCAUAACUCAUCACCCCAAAAAAAUCAAACCCUUCGAUUCUAAAUUCAAAUUCAUCAACUAAUCAAACCCAAAAAAACUCAAAGGUGCGAAUAAAUACUCAUGGUGAGUGGCUUGUGGUAAAUCGUAAAAAGAAGAAAACUCCACCAAUUACAGUGAAGAAAAAAUAGAUGGGACAAUUAAUUAGAAACUCAAAAAACUUGGGUGCAUUCAAGUUGCAAUUAAAGGAGGAAUUAAGUCAAAUGAUAAUUAUGAAGAAGGAAGGGAUAAGGCGCAAAUCAUGUCCGAUGGAGGAAGUGAGAAACCACAAAAAACGUGGUGAUGUGGAACCACAAUAGCAGAAUUUUAUGGAACACCGCGCCGGUGUUCUCAACCUUCCAUUAUUUUUUGUUUGAAAUUGAUUUUUCUAAUCUAGAUCUGGAUGAAAAAUAGAGGAAGAAAGAGAAGCGAUUGAAGAGGUGACGGUGGCCGUGUUUUACAUAAAGGGUGACCCUUUAGUGAAGGGAAGUGGCGGUGGAUAGUCAUGGUGGUGGUGGAAUUUCUCUAUGAAGAUGAUGUGAGAACAAGAGAAUAGAAGAAGAAAUGGGGUUUAUUAGAAAGAAGGGACACAAUAACACUUACAUUGAAUCUUUUAAUGUUGACCAUUGAUUUAAUCCUAAGGCUAUUAAUUAUUCUUAUCAUUCUUUUUCAUUUAAAUUUAAUUUAGUAAUAGCCUUUGAUCAGGUCAAAAUUAGAGGGGGUCAAAGAAGGGUGAAGUUAGGGGGCUGAAAAGUGAUUUUUUUAAUAGGGGACCAAAAUUGUUACCAUGACAAAUAUAGGGGCCAAAAAUGCAUUUAAACCUUUUUGUUAAUAUUCAUAAUUUUAUGUAGAGGUUCCUGCUUCCUAUGAUAAGGGACGAAUGAAGUAUAGACAAAGCCAUGAAUAACAUUAGACGCUGAUUAGAGAAACGUGAGUGAAAAAGGGUGGAGUAUAGUGCAGGUAUAUUGAAGAACAAAUAUAUGAAAAACUAAGGGGGGUGUAUUGAAUUGGGAUUUCAAGGGAUUUUAAAAGACUUUUUUAGAAUGAAAAAGUCUAGUGGUAUUCAAUCAAGACUUUUAUAAAAUUUAAACAAAUCUUGUGGUAUUCAAUCAAGACAAUCAUGACUUUUUUUUUAAGGCAACAAAAUCCGUUGGUAUUCAAUUGAGAUUUCUCAUGACUUAUGAAUUGUCCAUUGGUAUUCAAAAGUCUAUAGAUUUUGAUGGAUUCUUGGAUGGAAUGGAUUUUGUGAGACUUUUUAGUUAAAAAUAUCUCUUCCAACAAUCUCACAGAAACCCUUGAGAUUUUGCCAUUGUCUUGCAAACCUUUCUGCCGUCAUCUUCCAUGCCAGUUUUUUCUUUUCUCUAUCAAAUUCUUCAACUUCCAUUUCUUGUGUCUGAUUCUCUUUUUUUUUUUCCAUUACUUUUUUUUUGUUUCAAUUACUUUUUUUUAUCUGUAUACUCUUUUUGUCCAUAUCAAUUACUAUUAUUUGUUUUUGUCUGAUUCUUGCCAAUGCAAUUUUUUUUGUUCGGUUAAUUUUUUUUGUUCAAUACUAUGCUAUGCUAAUCUUCCCCGUCCCCAUCGUCCCUCAGAUUAUUUUUUCAUUGGCAAAUUCGUCAACGCCGAUUGCUUUUUUCCUUCCCACGUUCAACGGUGUCGAUGGAACGCGAUUAACCAAUCGUCCUUACUUUUUUUUUUUUUUUUUUUUUUUUUUAUCAAAUCAAUGUUUUUUACUCAAAAGCAUAAUUAUUUUUAUAGUUUUUGUCUUCUUUUUGUUCGAUUAAUUUUUUUUGUCUGAUUCUUGUCAAUGCAAUUUUUUUUUGUUUGAUACUUGAUUUUUGUUUAUUAUUAUUAUGAGUGUUAAGUUUAUUAUUGGUAUUUUUUUUCUUGUUAUUCCUAUUGAAUAUAUAUAUUGGUAUAUAGUUACUAUACUUUUGGCAAUUAGGAAAAAAAAACUGUUCUUGUGAAAUAACUAGUUUGUUAUAUAUGUAUAUAUUAGUGAUUAAAUGGGGGAUUCACAACAAGAAAAUAAUAGAGGGAAGGGUAAGGACAAAGAUGGCUAUGUAGCUUGGACCAUGGAGGAAACUAGUGAGUUGUUGUACCUUUUGGUGGAUGCUAUAAAUAGAGGGUUACGUGAUGCCAAUGGGUCCCUUAGUAAACAAAAUGUAGAGCGAGCUAUCCUUCCUCAGCUCAAUGCCAAAACUGAAUCACAUAAAACUUAUAAUCAUUACUUGAGCCGAAUGAAGUGGUUUAGAAAUCAAUACAACAAGAUGUCAACGUUUAUGCGUAACAACUCUGGUUUUGGAUGGGAUUCCGUUGCGAAGACUUACACGGCUACUGAAGAAGUAUGGAAUAAUUACUUAAAGGUGAGCUAAGUUCAAAAUCGUUUAAAAGUAUGAUUGAUUUUUAUUUUUUUUUUGUAAUAUUUAUAGUAUAUUAAUAGUGAAUUUUUUUUGUUUUUUAGUCCCAUCCAUCUCACAAAAAUCUUAAAGGAAAAAGUAUGAUUGAUUAUGAUUAUUUGAAGAUUGUUGUUGGAGGUGGAGUGUCUAGCGGAAAUAAUUCUAUAGCAUUAGACCCUGAGGAUACUGAUGCAACAACUUUUGAGCAAGAAAGUGAAAGUUUUGGAAUGGAAGAUUUUUCAUAUGAUCCCAAUAGUGAUACAUUCAUAGCACCAGAUAACUUUUGGUUGUACUUUUGUUAAAGUAUUUGGUUUGCUUUUUUUUUUUUGUUUAACUAAUGGUUGUAUUUGGAUUGAAGAAUUUAGUUCUGUAUGUUUUGUGAGACUAAUGUGGUUAAAAUUUAAUUAUAUUUUCAUUAUAGUAUUUUAUAUAUUACUUUGCAUUGACUCUUACACUACCUUAAAUAUUGUCUUAUAAUCAUGGCAAUGACAUAGAGGACGAAGAAAUUGAUUAUGAAGGAAUGAGUGAAGAUAUAGAUACUGAAGCUAUAGAUGAUGAUGAUGAUGAUGACGAAGAUGAUGAUGAUACAAAUGAUGAAGAAACAGAUGAAGAAUUGUAUGAAGCCAUAUACAUGUAUAUGAUGGCAAUUCAUGCUUUAAUGCACGUGGUAAAUCAGUUUUUGAAUAUGAUGCGUGGUGAACAUGUUGAACGUCCAUUAACUCGACGACGAAUUACAAGUAAGGGAUAUGACUAUAUACAUAAGUCAUUGAAUGGGGAUUCUGAAAUCUUUCGACAAGUAUAUAGAAUGUAUCCUGAUGUAUUCCGAAAGUUAUGCAUGAUUAUAAGAGAAAAAACACCUUUGGUGGAUACAAGAUUUAUUUGUAUUGAAGAAAUGCUUGCGUCGUUCUUACAGAUUGUCGGUCAGAAUACUCGAUAUUGUAUAAUUAGAAAUACAUUUGGCCGAUCACAAUUUGCUGCAAGUGAAAAUUUUCACAAGAUUUUGAAGGCUUUGAACUCAAUAGCACCUGAUUUGAUGGCUAAACCAACCUCAAGCGUGCCUGCAAAAAUAAGGGAAAGCACAAGAUUUUAUCCUUACUUCAAGGUAUGUGAUCAUUAUCUAAUUAUAAGAGAAUUGUAAAUAUAAUCAUCUUUAUUAUAAUAAUAUUUUUUUUAUGGUUAUAUAUGAAUACACUUUUAGGAUUGCAUUGGAGCUAUUGAUGGUACGCAUAUUCCUGCAUUGGUAAGAGGACGAGAUGUAAGCAGUUAUCGUGAUCGUCAUGGAAGGAUAUCACAAAAUGUAUUAGCUGCUUGUAAUUUUGAUUUGGAGUUCAUGUACGUUCUCAGCGGGUGGGAGGGUUCAGCCCAUGAUUCCAAGUUGCUAAAUGAUGCUUUGAAAAGGAAGAAUGGACUAAAAGUGCCCCACGGUAAGUAAUUAAUUUUUAAAAUAUACUGAUGUUGUUUUUCUUUCACUUUCAUACUUAUUUUAUAUGUAUUUUAAAUUUAAUUAGGUAAAUAUUUUCUGGUGGAUUGCGGAUUUGCUAAUCGACGCAAAUUUUUAGCUCCACAUCGAGGUGUGCGAUAUCAUCUACAAGAUUUUGCAGGUCACGGUAAUGACCCUGAAAAUGAAAAAGAGUUAUUCAAUCUUCGGCAUGCGUCUUUAAGGAAUGUGGUUGAGAGAAUAUUUGGUAUUUUUAAAUCGCGUUUCACAAUUUUUAAGUCAGCACCUCCAUUUUUGUUUAAGACACAAGCAGAACUUGUGUUGGCAUGUGCAGCACUUCAUAACUUUCUUCGCAAAGAAUGUCGUUCCGAUGAAUUUCCAAUUGAACCUUCUAACGAGUCUUCAUCUUCAUCUUCAAUGUUACCUAUUCAUGAAGACAAUAAUGAUGAACUCAAUGUUCAAACACAAGAGCAAGAACGAGAAGAUGCUAAUAUAUGGAGGACUAAUUUAGGUUUAGAUAUGUGGAGAGAUGUACAAGGAAUACCGUGAUACUACUCUAAACGGUGAUUCAGUGAAUCACAUUUCCCUUUUCAUAUUGGGAGAUGCUAAUAUCUAAAGAUAAUCUUGUUUUAAGAAACUUCAUUACCAGCAAGACAUAUUUUGCUUUUUUCCUAGUUUGUUAUUUACGAAAUAUAUUUUGUUUUAUCUUUUUGUUAUGCAGUUAUUUGUUUUUCUCUUUUUGAUGUACCGGUACAAGCUCGAUUUUGAAUCUAGAGAUCACUUUGUUUCGGAAAAAAAAAAUUAUUUGUUUACUAUUUCUAUCAUUCACGGUUGUAAGUUUGUUCUUUUUCCGCUAAAGUUCAUUGAAUCCUUUGAAAUAUUAAAAUCUCAUAAAAUCCUUUGAAAUCCUUAAAAUUCAGUGUGAUAAAUCCCAUAAAAUCCUUUGAAAUCCUUAAAAGUCAGUUUGAUAAAUCCCUUAAAGUCUUUUAAAAUCUUACAGAAUCAAUACAAUCCCACAAAGUCUUUUAAAAUCUUAAAGACUUUUUUUGUUAAAAAAGUCUUUUAAAAUCCUAAUCCAAUACACCCCCCUAAAGUAAAAAAAUGUAACUUCACACCAAAUUAAAUUGAGAUAUGAGUCAUUUGAAACAAACGUGUAAAGUUGUGAGAAAAAAAAUUAAUGAACACAAAAUUAAGAGAAUAGAACCUGGAUACGACAGAGUUUGAGCUUUGUUUGAUGAGAAAAUUAGAGUGUGGUGUUAAACUAGAUUCACUUAUACUUAUAGAUGAAACAAAUUCAAACUAGAAGAGAAGAUGUAUAGGGCUUGAGUUGCGUAUCUCACAUGAGAAAGUUCUUCACAGUCACACUAGUCAUUAUAUGCACGUUUUCUUCAUAAUUUAUUUUGAAAAUUGUUUUUCUCUAUUUUAAAAUUGUUCAUUUUCUAUAGUUAAUUCCGACAUUUUUCAGCUAGACUAAACUCUCAUUCUAUAAUGAGUAAUUUUUUUUUUGACAAUUUAUUCUUAAUUUUGUUGAAGAGUAUAUAUUCAAUAUUUAACUUGCAAUUGAGUUCUUAUUAAUUUUUAGUUAAUUAAUUUAAUGUUUUGAUUUUUUAAAGUCCACUUCGGCUAGAUGACAAUACUUCCAACUUACAAGUCAUCAAAAUUUCCCAACAAGGUGUAUUAUUUGAGGAAAACAAAUUGAGACUAUGGAAUAAAAAACAAGGUACUUAAGGGGUCAAAAUUGCAUAAUUGAAAAAAUGGUAUAUUUUCAAAUUGAACACUUGAAAAACCUAGAGAGAAAAAAUUGCAUCUAAACCUAAUUUUUUUAAUAGUACACUAAUUAUUUAUAGUGUUUUAUAUUUUAGGCUUAACAAUAAUUUUGUCCCCUAUUUUUACUAAACAUACACUAAAACACUUGAGGUUUUAAGGUGAACAGCAAUCUAGGAUGAGUUUUACACUGUGUUUGAUAGAAGAGAAAUAAGAAAGAGAGAAAGAGGGAAGAGAGAAGUUGGAUAGAGAGAAGCAACUUCUCCUGUUUAGUUGAGAAUAGAGAUUAAAGAGAGAGACCAAAUAUGGUGGAACCCAUGCCUGUUUUAUUUCUUUCUUGAAUUGCGAAGAAAUAGAGUAGAGAUGUGAACUUUUUUUGCUCUUUUCCAAAACUAUCCCUGGUAUUGUGGCUAAUAUAAAACUAUUGUCCUUUUUUUUUUUUGUUAACACUGUUGUAUUGUUUUCAUGGUUUUUGUUGUAGCAAGGUAAAAACAAAAACUAAUACGCAACUCUCUUUCCUUUACCUCUUGAUUGGAAUCCUCUUAUAUUAUAAUAAAUAAAUUAAACUAGUAGUUAGUUAACUCUAAUGAAAUAGUUUAACCGAUUAAAUUGUAAAAUUGUAAAUAAAUAAUUAAUUAAGCAAAUAAGUUAUCAAAUUUCUUUGUAAAAAAAUUACUUAGUUUCUUAAUUAAAUUAAUGUAAAAAAUUAUAAGUUAUCAGUUUUUAUAAGAAUUCAUAUAUAAUAAAAUUGUAUAUUAAAGUUUAGUAAGGAUAUUUUGGUCUUUUCAAAAGUUUAACACACUUCUCUCUUCUCUAUUUCUCUCAUUUAUCUCUUAUACUAAACAAUAGGUCAAAUCUACUCUAUUUCUCACCUAUUUCUCUCUUCCUAUACUCUCUCUUCACAACUUCUCUCUUUAUAACUUCUCUCCUAAACCAAACACACCCUUAAAGUUUGGAGAAGGCUAACAACUUUCACUUAAGGCAUUGUUUAGGGCUUGCUGUUAAGGUAUAUACAAAGUUUACAAAAGUAAGUUUAAUUAAAUAUAGUUUUUCAAAAUUAAGUUUGAUUAAAAUGAGUUUGUUCUCGUGUGCUUUUUCUUUGGAUAAGUAAACCAAGGCAUUUCAAUUAUGUUGCCACUUCUUAUUUACUGUUACCUAUCAUAUGCAUUUGGUAUGUUGCGGUUUACUGCUAUUGAUCAUUCUGUUUGUCAAAAAAUCUAUUUGAUAAACAAUAAUGAAGAGGAUGUAAAAUUAGUUGGCUAGAGCUCAGUUAGUUAACUAGCUGGUAGUUUCAGUUACAAUACUGUCUUGGUUACACUACACUGCCUCUCAAUAGUAGCCAUUACAAGUCCAGGGCUCGCGACAUGAAACACGCCUUGGCAUCGUUGCAAUAGCAUGGUUCAAUCGAGGAUUCUUUAAUUCUCUUGCUCCCAAUAUCAAACAAAGUGCGAUUUACAUUACGAUUACAAUGAAGCAACUACAUAGUAGAACAAACUUAUUGCAUAGCCAUACGAUACAAAAAAGAGUGGAAUAAGUACAAAAUACAAACUAUAUAUCACAAAAAUGGCAUCAAGCUUGUCUUUCUCCUAUAGCUAGCAGAAUACAGAUAGAAGUGUAAUUGAUCAGUUACACUUGUCAAACUUAUUCUUCUUUGAUCAAUCAUAUAUUACUUUGACACCAUCCAUGAAACUCCACUUAUAUUAUCAUAUAUGUAACUAAUUAUCUAAAAGUAUAUUAUUUAUAUCCAUAAAAAAUGAAGAACGAGUAGAAUGUCUGAAGUGUUGGUAUGGGAGCUGUUCUGCCACCAAUAGGUAGAAAAGUCCCAUUACUCCGGUGUGCUCCUUGGUGCUGUUGUAGUUAGACUCUAGAGUUAAAGUUUCACCAUCAAUAAUCUUGACAGAACCUGGUUUAGGAUAACAAGUGGACAUUCCUACAAUGUAUCCCGCUUCAUUUCCUGCUUCGCUUCCAUUUCCAUAACUUGGUAUAGAGGAACAUAUAACCCUUCCAUCCUGAAAACAUAAUCCACAAAUUUCACAAAACAAGCCACUACACAAUGUUUAACUUCUUGAUCAAAAGUAAAAUUGUUAGAAUAGCAACUCCGGUUCAAAAGUAAACAGAUAUGAAAAACACAAAAAGAGAACAUACGAAAUUCGAUAAUGGCGUUCGGUCAAUUAUGUCUACCGUUUAGUUUAACAUAUUACAACUCGUGUAUAAAUACUAAGGUCAAGUUUACAAGAUAGCCCUUGAACCAUACCCGUGUUAAUAAACUCAACAAAAAGAAACAUUGACGGUCCUCAAUAGCUAAUAAAUCAAACUAUUUUCUUGUUAGCUAAACAUUUCUUACUAUCAAUUGAAAACAAUCACGUGCUAAGACUAAAAAAAAAGGUGAUAAUUUAUAGUUUAUUUUUAGAGGAAGAAUCAUUAUUAGAAAAUGAUAUAUCAGUUAUACAAUUGUUCUCGAGGGGGUUUGAACUCUGUCUCUUGAAGUCACAAUGUCAAAAUAUUCCCAUUGAGCCGACACCAAGCAUUUAAGAAUGACUUAAGUUACCUGUCCAUAUAGAGUUGAUCCAAUUCCGCCUGAAUGUUGAUGAGCAGCACCAUAGAUCAUAUAGCCACCAGUUUGAAAUGGGAGACUUGUCCUCUUCACAUGAACACAGGAAUUUCCCUCCUUAUGGUCUGUGCUGCAAGAUUCAACUUGAUACUCAUUCUGAAACAAAGAAAACCAUGUUGCUCACUAUAUACCCAAAGUUUUAUGUUUUAGAGUUAAAUUGAGAUUUACACAAACAAAGUACGUGUAUGGAUUCCCUGCAGUCGAGAGACUCUACAUUCAUACAAUCAGUAACACAAUAACUGUUGGAUCAAGAUUGACGAUAAUAAAUUCCAUGCCUGCAGUAUUUUGGAUUUUAGAACAAUCGAAAUCUGUAUAUUUUGUGAAUUGUCUGAUCCUGAUCCAACAGUACACUGAUGGAUUGAUUGCGUGAAUGCAGGGCAUCCCAACUACACGGAACCCAUUUCGACAAACAUGUUUCGUAAUGAAUGCAUUUACCUUGCAGUCAUGAUCUGAGUUCAUUCCUUUUGAAUUAUCUGAUAGUUUCAAAGUAUCAGUAACAUCAAGUAUAUAUAUCUUAACAGGCACUAUAAAAUCAUCCCAAUCAACCCAUUUAACAGUGUAUCUUAAGUAGAGGCUUCUCUUUGGACCCUCAAAACCUUCCUUCAACUUGCACUGUUUAGAAUCAUAACAACAUAACAAACCUCCUUUAUAAUCUGGCCUAAUAGACCUUCCAUAUUCAUCCACUGUAACAUUAUAAAGCUCACACUUACACUCAGUGCACCCUAAUUUAUCCUUUGUGCCUCGCGUAUCGAUGGCAUGAACAUUAAGCAACCAUUUUUCGUGAAACCCUUCUGGAAUCUCUUCAGGAUUGCCUAUCUCUAUACCGAAAGGAUCCGGAAUAUCGGUCGCCGUUCCACGUGUUUCGGAUCCAAGGCCAAAGUAUUGUCCAAGAGUAUUUCCUUGACAUAUGCCACUGUUCCUUAUAAGCACAUUAUCAGAGUUUUGUGUUGCAUGUUUACUUUGAUGAUAUCUUACAACAAGCCAAUGAUGGAGAUAAGUUUCAUGGAGAGGUACAGGAUUCCCUGAUUCGUCAACUACUUCAGCAUUGAAACUCUUGAGUGCUACAUGACCUCUUGGAAAACCAAUAUCAUAAUAAUAUCCAUUGACAACUGAUCCAGGUCCUAGCUCAAAUUUCGGGGACAAAAAUACAGCUGAUUUUAUCUUAGCUUCAGUCUUCAUAGAAGAACCUGAGCAUUGUAUACAUAACAACAGCAGAAACAUUGCCCAUAAUAAUACCAAAUCUCUAGCUACAAAACUCAUGUUGAUCUGUCAGGGAAGAAAUUAUUAGUUAUUAACUAACUAAUUGUUGAUUAAAGACAUACCAAAACAAGAUAAAUAAGCAUGGUUGGAUCUAACACAAAACUGAUUUGUGGAGUGAGGAGUGUCUCUCUUUAUAAACUCUAUUCGUUAGACGUUAUCUUUAGUCUAUCUAUGUGGGACUUGGUUUUUCCAAAACACUGAGUGACCCGAAUCGAUAUGCUCUGAUUUCAUAUUAGAUUUUUAUAUUAGACUUCAUUCAUCCUUACAAAAUCGGUUUAUGAAGUGGGGUGUAAGUCUUUUAUAAACUACUAAAAUCUAAAUUAAUGUUAUGAAUGAAUACAAUUGUGGUGGUCACAGAACAAUUUUAAAACAUUAAUUAUAACAUAAACUUAUGAGCAGACAACUUUUUAUGAUGAAAGUAAAAAGGUUUACCUGG
This 18603-nucleotide long non-coding RNA is filed under the name Medicago truncatula (barrel medic). RNAcentral describes it as "long non-coding RNA (MTRU_LNC002246)". Lineage: Eukaryota; Viridiplantae; Streptophyta; Magnoliopsida; Fabales; Fabaceae. The record is from RNAcentral.